RNAcentral lists this ribosomal RNA (420 nucleotides) under uncultured bacterium. RNAcentral describes it as "bacterial SSU rRNA". It matches the Rfam family "Archaeal small subunit ribosomal RNA", at positions 455 to 871 of the family's 1478-position model. The record is from RNAcentral.
GUGGCAGCCGCCGCGGUAAUGCUAGCGGUCCAAGUCGCAACCACAUUUAUUGGGUCUAAAACAUCCGUAGCUUGCUUGAUAAGUUUCUUGUGAAAUUCUAUGUCUCAAACAAAGAGCGUGCAAGAAAUACUAUCUAGCUAGAGAUCGGGAGACGUAAGGAGUACGUUCGAAGUAGUAGUAAAAUGCUUUAAUCUUAAGCGGACUAACAAUAGCGAAGGCACCUUACGAGAACGGUUCUGACAGUCAGGGAUGAAGGCUAGGGGCGCAAAACGGAUUAGAUACCCGUGUAGUCCUAGCAGUAAACACUGUACACUAAACAUUGGGACCUCUUCGAGAGGUUUCAGUGCUGCGAGGGAAGCCGAAGAGUGUACUACCGUGGGAAGUAUAGCCGCAAGGCCGAAACUCGAAAGGAAUUGACGG